ACGUACGCUGGCGGCACGCCUAACACAUGCAAGUCGAACGAAGUAGCAAUACUUAGUGGCAGACGGGUGAGUAACAUGUGGGUAUCUACCCUUUGGCCUGGAAUAACACGAGGAAACUUGUGCUAAUACCGGAUAAGUCUUUACGGAGAAAGCUUUAUGCACCAUUGGAUGAGCCUGCACUUGAUUUAGUUUGUUGGUGGGGUAAUGGCCUACCAAGGCAAUGAUCAAUAGCUGUUCUUAGAGGAAGACCAGCCACAUUGGGACUGAGACACGGCCCAGACUCCUACGGGAGGCAGCAGUGGGGAAUCUUGC
Molecule: ribosomal RNA, 312 nt
Filed under: uncultured Pelagibacterales bacterium
Lineage: Bacteria; Pseudomonadati; Pseudomonadota; Alphaproteobacteria; Candidatus Pelagibacterales
Description: SSU rRNA
Rfam family: Bacterial small subunit ribosomal RNA
Source: RNAcentral